UCUCUAUUGAUUUACCAGAAUCUUUCAGGAUGUAACUUUGAAAAAAGCUUCGCGCAAGAAGCCAAUUGCAUCCGCUGCUUGUUUUUAGUCCUGGACUUGUGAUUGAUUUUGCAACAUAGAAGAAUNNNNNNNNNNUGCUUUGUUCCAUUCUGAUGUACAUUGGCAUAAAUUCAAUCUAACAAAGAGAGUAUACGCACUUUACUCUCUUCAUCUAAUAAAAGAAAGUAAUCAUUUUCUU
Molecule: unclassified non-coding RNA, 238 nt
Filed under: Hevea brasiliensis (rubber tree)
Lineage: Eukaryota; Viridiplantae; Streptophyta; Magnoliopsida; Malpighiales; Euphorbiaceae
Source: RNAcentral